Myodes glareolus (Bank vole) is the source of this 1255-nucleotide non-coding RNA. NCBI's taxonomy places the organism in Eukaryota, Metazoa, Chordata, Mammalia, Rodentia, Cricetidae. The record is from RefSeq and is a predicted model, not a curated record.
GUGAGCAUAUGCCAGCUGACCCUCCUUGUGGAUGGGUUCUGUUGUGGGGUGAGCUGUAUAUUCAUAUACUGAAGUCUCCGGCACCACAGAAGAUAAUCUUAUUUGAAAAACAAAAAGACUAUUGCAGAUGGGAUUGUCUAAGUUGAGAUCCUACCGGGGGAGGGUGGGCCCUGAUCCAAUAUAAUGGGUAUCCUUAUUAAAAGAGAAGAUUUGGCCAUUCAUCCAGGACCAGUACACAAACAAUCCGGGUAAUUUUCUGUAGCCCUCAGGGAUGGGUGUGUUGAUGCCUUGCUCUCUUGAUCUUUGCUUCUAGAACUAACAGUAACUUCCUGUUGUUUAGGUCAUUCUGUCUUUCGUACUUUGUUACAGCAGCCCUAGCAAACUCAGAGGUCAGAGUUAUGUAGCUGAUCAGGAAUCCACAGCAGCUGAGGAUGUUUUGUUUGGGAGCUUCCUCUGUUUCCUCAAGGCACCCCAAAAUCUCACUGAUUAGAUUUUUUUAUAGCGUCAGAUUUUACAUCAAUAUCUUGGUUGGGAUUUUUGCGCUGCCUAAACUGGAAUAGCAUGAAUUUGGAGAAGUUCCGGAUUCUCACAGAAGCCUGCUUUGUUUGUUUCUUGCUUCCCCUUCUUUGAUCUUGUUGUGUUUCCAUGGAUGACUUUGAACUUCUGGUCCUCCUGCCUCCACCUCCACAAUGCUGGAAUUAUAGGGCAGGGCCUGUGGGUGCUUCACCAUCUGGAAGGAGCUGCUUUGGGGGCAGAAAUCUCUCCCACACUUCCAUCACAGGCCGGCAGUACUCAGGGAGUCGUGGAACAUUGAUGCCAGCAACUGAGUUCCAGGUCACCUAAAGAGGAUUUCUGUACCGCCUCCCUUGGGAGGAAUGCUUAAGGAACCAAGACCAGAAUGUCCAAGCUGCUAACGAAGUCAGCAUUAGAGCCAGCUUGACUGUGUCAGGUAGGUGCACAUGAAGGACACCAGAUUCCCUGGAACCGGAAUUACAGGCAGUCGUGAAUCGCCUGAUGUGUGCUGGGACCCAAAGCAGGGUCCUCUCAAAGAGCGUAAAAGUACUCUUAUUGCUAAGCCAUUUCUCCAGCCUGCAUUUUUUUUUCUUUCACAGUAUGGGGGCUUCUGUAAUGCCAGCCAAAUGCUGUACCCCUUCUCUGCCAUCUUUAAUAAAGUAUGUUGUAUCUAGUUUAAUUUCUCUUUCUUCUGGAUCACUUGCUUGUCCUGUUCCAUUCUAUGGAAUGAACUGUGGGAACC